UCCCUGGCAGUCUAGUGGUUAGGACUUGGCACUUUCACUGCCAUGACCCUGGGUUCAAUUCCUGGCUGGGGAA
Non-coding RNA from Dama dama (fallow deer), 73 nucleotides. The record is from the annotation of a RefSeq genome assembly. Lineage: Eukaryota; Metazoa; Chordata; Mammalia; Artiodactyla; Cervidae.